UACAAGUAUUAUAAAUUCGGUUCAUAAUCUAGGAUACUUCAUUGAGCAUGACUUAUUUAGAAAGAUUAUUACUUAUGUUUGUUUCCAUGAAUUACUAUGAGAUACUAAUGGGAUGGAAUGAUGAGUCUCAUGCUAUAUGAUAAACAUGAUAGGCACUUAUAAAAUAAGUAGAUUGAACCAAUGAUACAAGAUGACUUGUACAUAAAGUUUACUUUUGUCAAUACAAAGCCAUUUAGAUCAUAAUAGUGCAUAUAAUCUCUUGACUUGAGAUAACACGGUUAUUUUUUAUAUAGGCAAUUUGAGUUUUAUACCACUUACAUACUCGUACUAGGUAUGAGUAUACGGGUGUGUGUUGGCUCCGACUAGUUAUAUAUAGAGA
RNAcentral lists this unclassified non-coding RNA (379 nucleotides) under Hevea brasiliensis (rubber tree). The record is from RNAcentral. Lineage: Eukaryota; Viridiplantae; Streptophyta; Magnoliopsida; Malpighiales; Euphorbiaceae.